GAGAGUGGGUAGUCCGCACGAGCGCAACCCUAUCCUUAGUUGCCAGCACAUUAUGGUGGGGACUCUAAGGAGACUGCCUGGGAUNACCAGGAGGAAGGUGGGGAUGAUGUCAAGUCAGUAUGUCCCUUAUGUCCAGGGCUACACACGUGUUACAAUGGUUGGUACAGAGGGCAGCUAAGCCGCAAGGUGGAGCCAAUCCCCCAAAACCAACCCCAGUUCGGAUUGGAGUCUGCAACUCGACUCCAUGAAGCAGGAAUCGCUAGUAAUCGUGGAUCAGAACGCCACGGUGAAUACGUUCCCGGGUCUUGUACACACCGCCCGUCACGCCGUGGAAGUCAGUAGUACCCGAAUCGAGUGGCCCAACCUUAGGGAGGGAGCUCGUUAAGGUAAGACUGGUAACUGGGGCGAAGUCGUAACAAGGUAGCCGUACCGGAAGGUGCGGCUGGAUCACCUCCUUUU
This 459-nucleotide ribosomal RNA is filed under the name uncultured delta proteobacterium. Its description in RNAcentral is "bacterial SSU rRNA". It matches the Rfam family "Bacterial small subunit ribosomal RNA", at positions 1072 to 1533 of the family's 1533-position model. The record is from RNAcentral. Lineage: Bacteria; Deltaproteobacteria.